RNAcentral lists this ribosomal RNA (468 nucleotides) under uncultured bacterium. RNAcentral describes it as "partial 16S ribosomal RNA". It matches the Rfam family "Bacterial small subunit ribosomal RNA", at positions 28 to 507 of the family's 1533-position model. The record is from RNAcentral.
GACGAACGCUGGCGGCGUGCUUAACACAUGCAAGUCGAACGGAAAGGCCCUGCUUUUGUGGGGUGCUCGAGUGGCGAACGGGUGAGUAACACGUGAGUAACCUGCCCUUGACUUUGGGAUAACUUCAGGAAACUGGGGCUAAUACCGGAUAGGAGCUCCUGCUGCAUGGUGGGGGUUGGAAAGUUUCGGCGGUUGGGGAUGGACUCGCGGCUUAUCAGCUUGUUGGUGGGGUAGUGGCUUACCAAGGCUUUAACGGGUAGCCGGCCUGAGAGGGUGACCGGCCACAUUGGGACUGAGAUACGGCCCAGACUCCUACGGGAGGCAGCAGUGGGGAAUAUUGCACAAUGGGCGGAAGCCUGAUGCAGCAACGCCGCGUGCGGGAUGACGGCCUUCGGGUUGUAAACCGCUUUCGCCUGUGACGAAGCGUGAGUGACGGUAAUGGGUAAAGAAGCACCGACUAACUACGUG